Non-coding RNA from Marasmius tenuissimus, 101 nucleotides. Lineage: Eukaryota; Fungi; Basidiomycota; Agaricomycetes; Agaricales; Marasmiaceae. The record is from the annotation of a GenBank genome assembly.
GGGGAUAUAGCUCAGUUGGGAGAGCAGUAGACUGAAGUAUUGAAGUUUGAGCGCCAGUAAUACUGUUCUGAAUGACCCGCGUUCAAUCCGCGGUAUCCCCA